UUUUCGGGGUUCGGGGACCGGUCCUUGCGAUGAGAGACCGGUCCCCGAAAGGCCAGAAUUCCAGACUUAGCCAAUUUUUCAGCAUUUUCAGCCUUUACCCUUUUUCACUCCGUUUUCGCUCAUUUUCGCUCGUUUGACCUCCGAUUCUUUUCAAAUCGAACCGGGACUCUCCAAACAUGUUUUCAAACAUGUUUUCAUCAUCUUUU
Molecule: long non-coding RNA, 206 nt
Filed under: Ananas comosus (pineapple)
Lineage: Eukaryota; Viridiplantae; Streptophyta; Magnoliopsida; Poales; Bromeliaceae
Description: long non-coding RNA (ACOM_LNC044112)
Source: RNAcentral